RNAcentral lists this ribosomal RNA (169 nucleotides) under Glossogobius illimis. RNAcentral describes it as "partial 12S rRNA". The record is from RNAcentral. Lineage: Eukaryota; Metazoa; Chordata; Actinopteri; Gobiiformes; Gobiidae.
CACCGCGGUUAUACGAGAGGCCCGAGUUGAUAAACAUCGGCGUAAAGAGUGGUUAAUUUAAUUGUAGACUAAAGCUAAACACCUUCAAGGCUGUUAUACGCACCCGAAGACAGGAAACCCAACCACGAAAGUAGCUUUAUACAGUAUUGACUCCACGAAAGCUAGGACA